RNAcentral lists this long non-coding RNA (73 nucleotides) under Fukomys damarensis (Damara mole-rat). RNAcentral's name for it is "ST7 overlapping transcript 3 conserved region 1 (ENSFDAG00000000472.1)". It matches the Rfam family "ST7 overlapping transcript 3 conserved region 1". The record is from RNAcentral. Lineage: Eukaryota; Metazoa; Chordata; Mammalia; Rodentia; Bathyergidae.
AAAGGACUUAUAUGAAGAUAAGAUGGCAAAAAAGUAGAAGGAAAAUUAAACAUAUUCAUGCAGUCUAGCUUUA